This 75-nucleotide transfer RNA is filed under the name Candidatus Levybacteria bacterium CG2_30_37_29. Its description in RNAcentral is "tRNA-Thr". It matches the Rfam family "tRNA". Rfam says of the family: Transfer RNA (tRNA) molecules are approximately 80 nucleotides in length. Their secondary structure includes four short double-helical elements and three loops (D, anti-codon, and T loops). RNAcentral also lists the same sequence under 2 other names. The record is from RNAcentral. Lineage: Bacteria; Candidatus Levyibacteriota.
GCCGAAGUAACUCAGCGGUAGAGUAGCUGUUUUGUAAACAGCAAGUCGCGGGUUCGAAUCCCGCCUUCGGCUCAA